This 1995-nucleotide long non-coding RNA is filed under the name Malus domestica (apple). RNAcentral describes it as "long non-coding RNA (MDOM_LNC010989)". Lineage: Eukaryota; Viridiplantae; Streptophyta; Magnoliopsida; Rosales; Rosaceae. The record is from RNAcentral.
GGUUGUUGCUCUGCGGGUGCCCCUUUUAAAUCUUUCAAAUUUUCAAAUCAAUGACUGGCCGGAUGUCUCUGCCAAAAGCUACGCAAUCAUGGUUUUGAUUCUACCCACGGAUGGCACCAGAAAGUGGCGAGAACAUGAACUGGAGCUGGUUGAUGUUGUGGCAGAUCAGGUGUGUUUUGUUGUUCACUCGUUCCGUUUUCACUGAAUGACUUGCCAUCGUGAUACAUGACUCUUUUUCUUUGUAUUUCACAAUGCUUAUUUGCGUACUGUUCGGGUGCUGUUUGCAUCUGAAGUUCAUGAAUUGAAAGGCUAAUGUAUUAACAACUGAUCUGUCACUUGUCUUCCUUAUGAUUCCUAUACACGUACUUAAAGGUUAUAACAAGUGUGGUUGUGCUCAGGUAGCUGUUGCUCUUUCACAUGCUGCUAUUCUGGAAGAGUCUAUGCGAGCCCGUAAACAGCUCACGGAGCAGAACGAUGCUUUAGAUUUAGCUUGGAGAGAAGCAGAGAUGGCAAUCCAUGCCCGCGAUGAUUUCCUUGCUGUCAUGAACCAUGAAAUGAGGACACCAAUGCAUGCAAUCAUUGCAUUGUCUUCUCUUCUGUUAGAGACGGAACUGACUCCGGAAGAAAGGCUUAUGAUAGAGACAGCACUAAAGAGUAGCAACCUUUUGGAAACACUUGUUAAUGAUGUUUUAGAUCUUUCUAGACUUGAAGAUGAUAACCUAGAAUUAGACACUGAAAGAUUUAACCUCCAUGGAAUUUUCAGAGAGGUAAACUUUCCAGACUCAGGGCUUGAAUGUGUACUUUGGAAUAAUUUGGUUUUCGUGAACUUACAUACAAACCUUUUACAAACUGUAGGUAAUGAAUUUGGUACAGCCCGUCGCAUCUGUGAAGAAGUUGUCUAUGACUUUGAUUCAAUCCCCUGACUUACCUGUGUAUGCCGUUGGAGAUGAGAAUCGGCUGUUGCAAACUAUUCUCAACGUUGCCGGUAAUGCUGUGAAGUUCACAAAGCAGGGCUAUAUUUCAAUUACAGCAUCUGUUGCGAAAUCAGAAUCUUCAAGAGACUGGCAACCGCCGGAGUUUUAUCCAGGGUCAACUGAUGGUUACUUCUACCUACGAGUUCAGGUCAAUUAUUGUGCGUUUUAUCGCUGUUUAGCUUUACUUUGUGUGCUGAGGUCGAUACAUCUCUUAGUAACUUCGACAGUGAAGCAACGUGAUCUGAUGGCAUUCCUGUUGCAGGUUAAGGAUUCUGGCUGUGGUGUUCUCCCAGAAGAUAUUCCUCAUCUUUUCACCAAGUUUUCUCAGCCCCGAAAUGGAUCCAAUCAAAUAAACAACGGUGCAGGACUUGGACUUGCCAUUUGCAAACGGUAUGGUUGAAAACUUUCCGAUCUUUCAUCAUUUCCGUAGGGCAUUUAAAAACUUGCAUCCUGCUUUUGUUUUCUCGCCUAUUCAUCCAACUUGGUCACCUUAUGUCCUGAAAUGACUUGGAUUAGGUUUGUAAACACCAUGGGAGGUCAUAUUUGGAUUGAAAGCGAGGGUAUCGACAGAGGGAGUAUCGUUGCAUUCAUCGUCCAACUAGGGAUAUGCGACAAUCAUAGUGAUACAACAACACACCAGGUCCAGAUUGCCACCUAAAGGACAAGCAAAUUAUGGAAGCGGAGAUCUCAUCGGACACAAACCCGCCUUUAGGGAUUGUUUCGGAAUAACUUCAUCGAAUGCACGUUAUCAAAGAAGUCUUUGAAUGCCAGUGGAUACACCGAUCAAUGUUUUCUGCCUGGCAGAGUUAUUAGCUCAACCGGGGAAUUUUGGUUUAGUAUGUUGAGGUUGGAAGAAAUUUGUGUGUUUAAAAUUGUGAACGUUGAUUGUUACUGUUAUCCUCAUCGUUACGAGGCCAUCAGUGGGAAAUGUUGCUUAAUUAGUGUUAAAUCCUCGUCCGAAUGAGGCAAACCAGGUAAUUAAAACCUGUUUGAUAGUCGAUACUCCAUUAUCUUAAAUCGU